GACGAACGCUGGCGGCGUGCCUAAUACAUGCAAGUAGAACGCUGAAGGAGGAGCUUGCUUCUCUGGAUGAGUUGCGAACGGGUGAGUAACGCGUAGGUAACCUGCCUGGUAGCGGGGGAUGACUAUUGGAAACGAUAGCUAAUACCGCAUAAUAGCAGUUGUUGCAUGACAACUGUUUGAAAGGUGCAAAUGCAUCACUACCAGAUGGACCUGCGUUGUAUUAGCUAGUUGGUGGGGUAAAGGCUCACCAAGGCGACGAUACAUAGCCGACCUGAGAGGGUGAUCGGCCACACUGGGACUGAGACACGGCCCAGACUCCUACGGGAGGCAGCAGUAGGGAAUCUUCGGCAAUGGACGGAAGUCUGACCGAGCAACGCCGCGUGAGUGAAGAAGGUUUUCGGAUCGUAAAGCUCUGUUGUAAGAGAAGAACGAGUGUGAGAGUGGAAAGUUCACACUGUGACGGUAUCUUACCAGAAAGGGACGGCUAACUACGUG
Molecule: ribosomal RNA, 495 nt
Filed under: uncultured bacterium
Lineage: Bacteria
Description: partial 16S ribosomal RNA
Rfam family: Bacterial small subunit ribosomal RNA
Source: RNAcentral